This 253-nucleotide ribosomal RNA is filed under the name uncultured bacterium. RNAcentral's name for it is "partial 16S ribosomal RNA". It matches the Rfam family "Bacterial small subunit ribosomal RNA", at positions 524 to 776 of the family's 1533-position model. The record is from RNAcentral.
UACAGAGGGUGCAAGCGUUAAUCGGAAUUACUGGGCGUAAAGGGCGCGUAGGCGGCCAUCUAAGUCAGACGUGAAAUCCCCCGGCUUAACCUGGGAACUGCGUCUGAUACUGGACGGCUUGAGUUUGGGAGAGGGAUGCAGAAUUCCAGGUGUAGCGGUGAAAUGCGUAGAUAUCUGGAGGAAUACCGGUGGCGAAGGCGGCAUCCUGGACCAACACUGACGCUGAGGCGCGAAAGCGUGGGGAGCGAACAGG